GACGAACGCUGGCGGCGUGCUUAACACAUGCAAGUCGAACGGAAAGGCCCUGCUUUUGUGGGGUGCUCGAGUGGCGAACGGGUGAGUAACACGUGAGUAACCUGCCCUUGACUUUGGUAGAACUUCAGGAAACUGGGGCUAAUAUCGUACAGCAGCUCCUGUUGCGUUGAGGGCAUGGGAAAGUUUCGGCGGGUGGGGAUGGACUGGCGGCUAAUCAGCUUGUUGGUUGGGUAGUGGCUUACCAAGGGUGUGACGGAUAGGCGGCAUGAGAGGGUGACCGGCGACAUUGGGACUGAGAUACGGCCCAGACUGCUACGGGAGGCAGCAGGGGGGAAUAUUGUACAAUGGGAGGAAGUCUGAUGCAGAAACGCCGCGGGCGGGAUGACGGCCUUCGGGUUGUAAACCGCCUUCGCCUGUGACGAAGCGUGAGUGACGGUAAUGGGUAAAGAAGCACCGGCUAACUACGUG
Molecule: ribosomal RNA, 468 nt
Filed under: uncultured bacterium
Lineage: Bacteria
Description: partial 16S ribosomal RNA
Rfam family: Bacterial small subunit ribosomal RNA
Source: RNAcentral